RNAcentral lists this ribosomal RNA (403 nucleotides) under uncultured bacterium. Its description in RNAcentral is "bacterial SSU rRNA". It matches the Rfam family "Bacterial small subunit ribosomal RNA", at positions 355 to 774 of the family's 1533-position model. The record is from RNAcentral.
UAGGGAAUAUUGCAAAAUGGGCGAAAGCCCGAUGCAGCAACGCCGCGUGGGCGAUGAAGGCCUUCGGGUCGUAAAGCCCUUUUUGAGGGGAUGAGGAAGGACAGUACCCUCAGAAUAAGCCUCGGCUAACUACGUGCCAGCAGCCGCGGUAAAACGUAGGAGGCGAGCGUUAUCCGGAUUUACUGGGCGUAAAGCGCGUGCAGGCGGAUUGGAGAGUUGGAUGUGAAAGCUCCCGGCUUAACUGGGAGAGGUCGUUCAAUACUUCCAGUCUUGAGUGCAGUAGAGGGAAGUGGAAUUCCGGGCGUAGUGGUGAAAUGCGUAGAUAUCCGGAGGAACACCAGUGGCGAAAGCGGCUUCCUGGACUGUAACUGACGCUCAGACGCGAAAGCUAGGGUAGCAAACG